CAACACUUUUUAAUGCACAUUCUCUAUACGUCUAACAAGAGUAGCACAAUGUAGUGCACCAAAUUAUACAGCCACACUUCUCGUAGUGAAACUUUAUUAGAAGUUGCGUACUUUUUCAAUAUUUACUGUCAACAUUGGUGGUUCGAUCGAUACAACUAACUUGCUAUAUAACAAAUAUAAAAGGGGACAAAUUGCGCCCCC
Molecule: long non-coding RNA, 201 nt
Filed under: Olea europaea (common olive)
Lineage: Eukaryota; Viridiplantae; Streptophyta; Magnoliopsida; Lamiales; Oleaceae
Description: long non-coding RNA (OEUR_LNC012074)
Source: RNAcentral